GAUGAACGCUAGCGAUAGGCCUAACACAUGCAAGUCGAGGGGCAUCACGGAGUAGCAAUACUUUGGUGGCGACCGGCGCACGGGUGAGUAACGCGUAUGCACUCUACCUACAACAGGGGGAUAACCCGGAGAAAUCCGGACUAAUACCGCAUAACACAGGGGUCCCGCAUGGGAAUAUUUGUUAAAGAUUUAUCGGUUGUAGAUGAGCAUGCGUUCCAUUAGGUAGUUGGUGAGGUAACGGCCCACCAAGCCUGCGAUGGAUAGGGGAACUGAGAGGUUUGUCCCCCACACUGGAACUGAGACACGGACCAGACUCCUACGGGAGGCAGCAGUGAGGAAUAUUGGUCAAUGGGCGAGAGCCUGAACCAGCCAAAUCGCGUGAAGGAAGACUGCCUUAUGGGUUGUAAACUUCUUUUGUACAGGAAUAAAAAGAGGGACGUGUCCUUCAUUGCAUGUACUGUACGAAUAAGCAUCGGCUAACCCCGUGCCAGCCGCCGCCGUAA
RNAcentral lists this ribosomal RNA (503 nucleotides) under uncultured bacterium. RNAcentral describes it as "partial 16S ribosomal RNA". It matches the Rfam family "Bacterial small subunit ribosomal RNA", at positions 28 to 523 of the family's 1533-position model. The record is from RNAcentral.